RNAcentral lists this ribosomal RNA (249 nucleotides) under uncultured bacterium. RNAcentral's name for it is "partial 16S ribosomal RNA". It matches the Rfam family "Bacterial small subunit ribosomal RNA", at positions 523 to 769 of the family's 1533-position model. The record is from RNAcentral.
AUACGUAGGGUGCGAGCGUUAAUCGGAAUUACUGGGCGUAAAGCGUGCGCAGGCGGUUUUGUAAGACAGUUGGUGAAAUCCCCGGGCUCAACCUGGGAACUGCCAUUGUGACUGCGAGGCUGGAGUGCGGCAGAGGGGGAUGGAAUUCCGCGUGUAGCAGUGAAAUGCGUAGAUAUGCGGAGGAACACCGAUGGCGAAGGCAAUCCCCCUGGGCCUGCACUGACGCUCAUGCACGAAAGCGUGGGGAGC